RNAcentral lists this ribosomal RNA (443 nucleotides) under uncultured bacterium. RNAcentral describes it as "bacterial SSU rRNA". It matches the Rfam family "Bacterial small subunit ribosomal RNA", at positions 958 to 1398 of the family's 1533-position model. The record is from RNAcentral.
AACGCGAAGAACCUUACCUGGGCUCGAACGGCUGGUCAACGCCGGUGGAAACAUCGGUACCCCGCAAGGGGGUCCAGUCGAGGUGCUGCAUGGCUGUCGUCAGCUCGUGUCGUGAGAUGUUGGGUUAAGUCCCGCAACGAGCGCAACCCUUGUCCUGUGUUGCCAUCAUUCAGUUGGGAACUCGCAGGAGACCGCCAGGGAUAACCUGGAGGAAGGGUGGGGAUGACGUCAAGUCCUCAUGGCCUUUAUGUCCAGGGCUACACACGUGCUACAAUGGACGGUACAAAGCGCAGCAAACCCGCGAGGGGGAGCCAAUCGACAAAAAACCGUUCUCAGUUCGGAUUGCAGGCUGCAACUCGCCUGCAUGAAGCUGGAAUCGCUAGUAAUGGCAGAUCAGCACGCUGCCGUGAAUACGUUCCCGGGCCUUGUACACACCGUAGUAC